AUACGUAGGGAGCAAGCGUUGUCCGGAAUUACUGGGCGUAAAGGGCGCGUAGGUGGAUGCUUAAGUCAGAUGUGAAAACUCCGGGCUCAACUUGGAGAUUGCAUUUGAAACUGGGUAUCUUGAGGGUAGGAGAGGAAAGUGGAAUUCCGAGUGUAGAGGUGAAAUUCGUAGAUAUUCGGAGGAACACCAGUGGCGAAGGCGGCUUACUGGUCCAUUACUGACGCUGAGGUGCGAAAGCGUGGGGAGC
Molecule: ribosomal RNA, 247 nt
Filed under: uncultured bacterium
Lineage: Bacteria
Description: partial 16S ribosomal RNA
Rfam family: Bacterial small subunit ribosomal RNA
Source: RNAcentral